UCCCUGGUGGCUCAGAGGGUAGAGCAUCUGCCUGCAAUGUGGGAGACCCGGGUUCGAUCCCUGGGUCGGGAA
This 72-nucleotide transfer RNA is filed under the name Bos taurus (domestic cattle). It matches the Rfam family "tRNA". Rfam says of the family: Transfer RNA (tRNA) molecules are approximately 80 nucleotides in length. Their secondary structure includes four short double-helical elements and three loops (D, anti-codon, and T loops). Further hydrogen bonds mediate the characteristic L-shaped molecular structure. tRNAs have two regions of fundamental functional importance: the anti-codon, which is responsible for specific mRNA codon recognition, and the 3' end, to which the tRNAs corresponding amino acid is attached (by aminoacyl-tRNA synthetases). tRNAs cope with the degeneracy of the genetic code in two manners: having more than one tRNA (with a specific anti-codon) for a particular amino acid; and 'wobble' base-pairing, i.e. permitting non-standard base-pairing at the 3rd anti-codon position. Lineage: Eukaryota; Metazoa; Chordata; Mammalia; Artiodactyla; Bovidae. The record is from Rfam by way of RNAcentral. RNAcentral also lists the same sequence under 2 other names.